RNAcentral lists this ribosomal RNA (238 nucleotides) under uncultured bacterium. Its description in RNAcentral is "partial 16S ribosomal RNA". It matches the Rfam family "Bacterial small subunit ribosomal RNA", at positions 28 to 262 of the family's 1533-position model. The record is from RNAcentral.
GACGAACGCUGGCGGCGUGCUUAACACAUGCAAGUCGAGCGGUAAGGCCCGUUUCGGGGUACACGAGCGGCGAACGGGUGAGUAACACGUGGGUGACCUGCCCUCAGCUCUGGGAGUAAGCCGUCGGGAAACCGGGUACUAAUACUGGAUAUGACUCCAUGACGCAUGUUGGUGGGGUGGAAAGCCUUGUGCGGCUGAGGAUGGGCCCGCGGCCUAUCAGCUUGUUGGUGGGGUGAGG